This 253-nucleotide ribosomal RNA is filed under the name uncultured bacterium. RNAcentral's name for it is "partial 16S ribosomal RNA". It matches the Rfam family "Bacterial small subunit ribosomal RNA", at positions 524 to 776 of the family's 1533-position model. The record is from RNAcentral.
UACAGAGGGUGCAAGCGUUAAUCGGAAUUAUUGGGCGUAAAGAGCUCGUAGGUGGCCUGUCGCGUCGGCUGUGAAAACUCGGGGCUCAACUCCGAGCUUGCAGUCGAUACGGGCAGGCUAGAGUUCGGCAGGGGAGACUGGGAUUCCUGGUGUAGCGGUGAAAUGCGCAGAUAUCAGGAGGAACACCGGUGGCGAAGGCGGGUCUCUGGGCCGAUACUGACACUGAGGAGCGAAAGCGUGGGGAGCGAACAGG